Chiroxiphia lanceolata (lance-tailed manakin) is the source of this 1908-nucleotide long non-coding RNA. RefSeq lists it as uncharacterized. Lineage: Eukaryota; Metazoa; Chordata; Aves; Passeriformes; Pipridae. The record is from RefSeq and is a predicted model, not a curated record. The transcript has 3 exons.
AGUUCAUGCCCCCCCUCGCUCAGUAGCCGCCGCAUCUGGAUGUGCUCCAGGUGCAUUCCGGCCGCCGCCAGAGCCGCGAGAUCAGGGAUGUCUGGAGAGCCGACGGGGCCGUGAGUACCGUGGCGGGGGGCGGGAGGCGGUGCACGUGAGCCGGGAGACGCAGAGGAGGAGCCGUGGGCGAGGGCGUUCCGCUGUCGGCCGGGAGCCUUCGGAGCUGUUGGGAGGAGCUGGGAAAGCUGAAUCCCCGCGCGAAAGCACCGGAGAUCGGAUCCCGUCGAGGGAGAAAAGGAGAGAAACGAGUGUUCAGGCAGUUGGCAAAGCCAAAAUCAAGUCCAAAAAAGGAAGACUAUCAAGAAGGCUUGUUUAGGCUCCUUUCAAGGCAGGACUACAGUAAACGCAUUCUGUUUAAGAACAUGCGCAUCCCAGGGCUGAACAACAAGAUACCUUCAUAGUCAAAGCAACCUUCAAGCCCGGAACCUUGGAGAAACUCCAGAGACAGUACAUGUCGUGAAGAAGAGGAAGAUGGAAGAAAGGGAUCUUGGGACCUCCAACUCAGUUUUCAGGGAGGCGUGUCAGAGGUGCAGAUUUGGGGAAGAUCUGGGGGCGGAUAGUUCUUGUAUUAGACCAUAAAUUGUAGAACUCCUGGACACGUGCCUUUGUACUCCUUGCUCCAGAGGGCCUUCAUUAAAGACCUGCUCUAUAUCUUGUCUAUACGAAUAAUUGCCUGUUGAGUCUUUUUCUCCCGAAUUUAGGCAACACUAACAUACAUGAGUUAAAAAGUGAUUUGGCCACAAGACUCACAAACCUACUGACUUUGGGAAGUUGAUCAUAUUAUCUUGGAACUGGAUUUCCGUGUACACAAGUGGGCUUGGUGCCCUGAGGCUGCUUGCUGGCAGCUGGAAAAAUCCAUUAGCUCCAGGCAGCAUCCUGCCAUCCAUGGGCUGAGCAUAGAAAGGGGCCCAAAAUGCCCUUGUGUGUAGUAACUCAAGUUCUACUUGUUGCUUACUGAGCUCAAACUUAGUUUCAUACAGAUCAAAGCCUAUCUUUGUUUAAGAUAAUGAAGUGUGAAGUAUCUAUUACUUUGUUGUUUACACUUUUCCAGAGAGAAGUAACUGGAAUAAAUUUGCUCCCUGCAUGGAACAGAAUUUGGGUUCUUGUUGUCAUUAGAUUGGCUUUCCAGUCUAUUAAAAAGGUGCUGUACAAGUCAGGCUUUAAACAGGUAGUUUAAGGUUAAGUACUUUAAUUUGAGUGCUGUGGUCAUCACAAUGACUUUCAAGAAGAAAAUCCAUCCACUGCAGAUUUUUUUGUUUGUUUUAUGAGAGCAACAGUCAAAUAAAGAGAAUAACUUGCUUGCUUUCUCAAAUUGUCUUAUAUAGCAUUGCAUUUCAGUCAACAGAACACUGAAGACCAGAGCUAACACAAAAACUACAGGAAAAAAUAUUUCAGAAAACAGGAGAAUAAUGUAUUUUUCCCAUUUAUCCUUAGUCCUUUUUUGAAAGAACUAAGUUGCAGCCUUUGGCAUACUUUCUAGCAGAAAUUUCUGUCAAAGCCAUUCCUAUUGAUGUUUUGAUCUUUCCCUUAUGCAACACACUUUGACAACUCUAUUUUUUUUUCUCAGAAUUGUCUAAUCAUUUCACUUUGUGGUCUUCAUUCUAAGUCAAAAAUGUUACGGCAUUGUUUUGAAUUUACUUUCAAAAGCUGCUGAUAAUAACCACAACAGCUGCCAAAACGUGCCAGCUGAGUUUUGUCAUAUUUAUUUCAGUCUUUGUAAAAGAUUCCUUUCUCAUUUGCAGUCUAUCCUUGUUGCAGUCAGUGGUUGGACUAGUUCGGCAGGAUUGCUGCAGCAAAAUAUCAAAAAGUCACCCAAAUGUGAAAAUAUUCAGGACAUUGAAUUGUGGUCUUCAGCUU